This 1679-nucleotide long non-coding RNA is filed under the name Olea europaea subsp. europaea. Lineage: Eukaryota; Viridiplantae; Streptophyta; Magnoliopsida; Lamiales; Oleaceae. The record is from RNAcentral.
CUAGUUAAAGAUAAUUGCUUCGUGUUAGCAAACCAUGGGUGAAAUGAAUUUCACUUUUCAUGGUUGCACACCACUGAGGAGGAUUUUUGGCUUCUUUGUAGUUCCUAGGUUCAAUCUGGGAAGUGAUAGGAGCAACAAUGACUUUAUGUGCAUCGGAUAACCUUUUAUAGGAAAUACUAGCAUUGAGAGGGUACUGACAACUGGAGAGAUCUUGUGCCUUUAGCUUGUCCAACGCUUGAGAUGGGUGAAGUGAAGUAGCCUGGUGGCAUAUGAAGUCCUGAAGAUGUGUUGGUGCUUUUUUGAUUCGGAUUGAUAUGCGGGGCAAAUGGGUUGUAGAAGUUGUGCUUGGUGAGGGACUGAAAGCAUAAGUGUCAGUGUUAAUUUGGGGCUCUUCAUGAUUAGAUUUUCGUGGAAGUUCUUUCUCAGGUUGGAUGGUUUGAGAGCCUGUUUCUGGCAUUACAUUAUUAUGACUGGUGUUUGAAGUUGCAUUGACUGUUUCUUUGUAAGCUAUAGGAUCUUGGAUAAAACUACUGAUGUUGUUAUGAUUUGAUCUUACAGAAUCAUCCUUAUAGGGAAAAAGGUUUUCAUAAAAAACUACGUUCCUAGAUAUGAAGAUUCUUUUAGUCUCAAGAUCCAGCAAGGUAUAUCCUUUGACUCCAAAAUGAUAGCCUAUGAACACACAUUUUUGGGCUCUACCAUUGACGAUGGUAGUGGCAUAGGCUAGGCAGCCAAAGACUUUGAGGUGAUUGUAAGAUGGCCUUUUGUGGAAUAAAAUUUGGUAAGGACUUCUAUCUCUCAAUGUGGAUGAAGGGUUUCUAUUGAUGAGAUACAUUGCAAUUAGGAUGCAAUGGUUCCAAUACUUUAAUGGGAUUCCACUUUGGAACUUUAAGGCCCUGGCCGUAUUAAGGAUGUGUUGAUGCUUCCUUUCUACGACAGCAUUUUGUUGGGGUGUCUCAACACAGGUUCUUUGAUGCAUAAUGCCCUUUUGGAGAUAAAAUUCUCUCAUAUUGAAUUCUCCAUCAUUAUCCAUUCUAAUAAUCUUAACUUUGGUUUCAAACUGUGUUUCAACCAUAGCACAUAAGUUAUGGAGGGCAUUGGUAGCAUCUGAUUUUAGUCUUAAGGAAUAGGCCCACGUGCAUCUACUAAAAUCAUCCACAAUGGUUAAGAAAUACUUGGAACCAUCACUACCGAUCUCACUGCAGGGGCCCCAGAUGUCUCAAUAUAAUAAUUCGAAACAUUUGUGAGUUUUGUGGGUGCUUGUGUGAAAGGGUAAUUUGUGCAAUUUAGACAAAGGGUAUAUAGAACAAAAUUUAUUAUUAGAUGAUUUUGAGAAUCGAACAUCUCCAUCAACACUAAGAAUAAAGUAAGAGGUAUGUCCUAAUCUGUAACGCCAAACAUCAAAAUCUUGAAUAUUAGAGGUGGCUGAAGCAAAGACAGGAAUUUGGGUCUGAGUAUGCAAUUUGUUCAAGUAAUCUGAUAGUGCUGGAGAGGGAACAUCUUUGGUGAUCAUGUGAUAUAGCCCUUCCUUUAAUUCACCAUGCCGAUCGUCUUUCAAGCUGAAAGGUCCUAGAUGUAAUAGCAACGAGAAAAGAAAAUUAGACAACAUUUGAGCAUUUGUGUUAGUUUCUUAGCAGAAAUGAGAUUGAAUGAAAAGCUAGGUACACAAAGAACAUCUUGAA